UGUGCAUCAGCAGGUGCCUUGCAGGUGUGGCUGCUGUGUCAGGUAUGCAUCAGCGAGUGGAGGAGAGGAGAGAGGCCAUGCCUAUGCUCAGUGCUCUGACCUGUGGACAUUUGAACGAUUAGUCGCCUAACAUU
Molecule: small nucleolar RNA, 134 nt
Organism: Acomys russatus (golden spiny mouse)
Lineage: Eukaryota; Metazoa; Chordata; Mammalia; Rodentia; Muridae
Product: small nucleolar RNA SNORA17
Exons: 1
Source: RefSeq, a predicted model, not a curated record